AGCCCGUGGAUUACUUCCAUUUUGCAGAUGAGCAGCUGAGCCUCACAGAGUGCGGAAUGACUUGCCCAAGGCCACGCUGGGAGAAAGCGGAAAAGCUGAGGCUCUGCAGGGAAUAUGGGCUGGAAGACAGUCCCGCCUCAGGGCCACUGUCCAACACAGCAGCAUGCUCCCCUCUUGAGGACGGAGUUGAUUGGCGGUGGACUUGGGCACCAGGAAGCUUUGGCAGAGCUGCCCUGAAGGAGAUGCUUGAAAGGGAACAGGGUGCGUGAGGCUUAUUCAGCGUCAGGUCCUUCCAAGUUAUGAGUCCAGAGCCCGGUACCUAGCUGCUCAGGAACAA
Balaenoptera musculus (blue whale) is the source of this 337-nucleotide long non-coding RNA. RefSeq lists it as uncharacterized. The transcript has 3 exons. The record is from RefSeq and is a predicted model, not a curated record. NCBI's taxonomy places the organism in Eukaryota, Metazoa, Chordata, Mammalia, Artiodactyla, Balaenopteridae.